RNAcentral lists this ribosomal RNA (423 nucleotides) under uncultured bacterium. RNAcentral describes it as "bacterial SSU rRNA". It matches the Rfam family "Bacterial small subunit ribosomal RNA", at positions 608 to 1029 of the family's 1533-position model. The record is from RNAcentral.
CUCAACCUAGGAAUUGCAUUCCAAACUGGCGGGCUAGAGUCCGGGAGAGGGAAGUGGAAUUCCCCGUGUAGCGGUGAAAUGCGUAGAUACGGGGAGGAACACCAGUGGCGAAGGCGACUUCCUGGCCCGGCACUGACGCUGAGGUGCGAAAGCGUGGGUAGCGAACGGGAUUAGAUACCCCGGUAGUCCACGCCGUAAACGCUGAGAACUAGGUGUUGGGCGGUCUAACCGCUCAGUGCCGAAGCUAACGCGAUAAGUUCUCCGCCUGGGGAGUACGGCCGCAAGGCUAAAACUCAAAGGAAUUGACGGGGGCCCGCACAAGCGGUGGAGCAUGUGGUUUAAUUCGAUGCAACGCGAAGAACCUUACCGGGGCUUGACAUCAUCCGGAACUGGCUAGAGAUAGUCGGGUGCCCUCGGGAGCCG